Molecule: non-coding RNA, 72 nt
Organism: Phrynosoma platyrhinos (Desert horned lizard)
Lineage: Eukaryota; Metazoa; Chordata; Lepidosauria; Squamata; Phrynosomatidae
Source: the annotation of a GenBank genome assembly
GUCAGCAUGGCAUAGUGGCUUGAGUGUUGGACUAUCACUCUAGAAACCAGGAUUCGAUUCCCAGCUCAGCCA